GGGUCUGUAGCUCAGGUGGUUAGAGCGUACGCCUGAUAAGCGUAAGGUCAGUGGUUCGAGUCCACUCAGACCCACCA
RNAcentral lists this transfer RNA (77 nucleotides) under Vibrio cholerae. Its description in RNAcentral is "tRNA-Ile". It matches the Rfam family "tRNA". From Rfam's summary of the family: Transfer RNA (tRNA) molecules are approximately 80 nucleotides in length. The record is from RNAcentral. Lineage: Bacteria; Pseudomonadati; Pseudomonadota; Gammaproteobacteria; Vibrionales; Vibrionaceae.